This 465-nucleotide ribosomal RNA is filed under the name uncultured bacterium. RNAcentral describes it as "partial 16S ribosomal RNA". It matches the Rfam family "Bacterial small subunit ribosomal RNA", at positions 28 to 507 of the family's 1533-position model. The record is from RNAcentral.
GACGAACGCUGGCGGCGUGCUUAACACAUGCAAGUCGAACGGAAAGGCCCCUUUGGGGGUACUCGAGUGGCGAACGGGUGAGUAACACGUGAGUAACCUGCCCUUGACUUCGGGAUAACUUCAGGAAACUGGGGCUAAUACCGGAUAGGAAUCCUUGCUGCAUGGUGGGGGUUGGAAAGCUUCGGCGGUUUUGGAUGGACUCGCGGCUUAUCAGCUUGUUGGUGGGGUAGUGGCUUACCAAGGCUUUGACGGGUAGCCGGCCUGAGAGGGCGACCGGCCACAUUGGGACUGAGAUACGGCCCAGACUCCUACGGGAGGCAGCAGUGGGGAAUAUUGCACAAUGGGCGGAAGCCUGAUGCAGCAACGCCGCGUGCGGGAUGACGGCCUUCGGGUUGUAAACCGCUUUCAGCAGGGGCGAAGCUUGUGGUGACGGUACCUGCAGAAGAAGCACCGGCAAACUACGUG